AGUGAACGCUGGCGGUAGGCCUAACACAUGCAAGUCGAACGGCAGCACAGUAAGAGCUUGCUCUUACGGGUGGCGAGUGGCGGACGGGUGAGGAAUACAUCGUAAUCUACUUUUUCGUGGGGGAUAACGUAGGGAAACUUACGCUAAUACCGCAUACUCCCUACGGGUGAAAGCAGGGGAUCUUCGGACCUUGCGCGAUUGAAUGAGCCGAUGUCGGAUUAGCUAGUUGGCGGGGUAAAGGCCCACCAAGGCGACGAUCCGUAGCUGGUCUGAGAGGAUGGUCAGCCACACUGGAACUGAGACACGGUCCAGACUCCUACGGGAGGCAGCAGUGGGGAAUAUUGGACAAUGGGCGCAAGCCUGAUCCAGCCAUACCGCGUGGGUGAAGAAGGCCUUCGGGUUGUAAAGCCCUUUUGUUGGGAAAGAAAAGCAGCAGGUUAAUACCCCGCUGUGCUGACGGUACCCAAAGAAUAAGCACCGGCUAACUACGUG
This 492-nucleotide ribosomal RNA is filed under the name uncultured bacterium. RNAcentral's name for it is "partial 16S ribosomal RNA". It matches the Rfam family "Bacterial small subunit ribosomal RNA", at positions 29 to 507 of the family's 1533-position model. The record is from RNAcentral.